AAAAAAUUAGUUAAACAUAUAACAUUAGCUUGUCAAGCUAAAAUCAUUAAUCUAUUAAUAUUUUUUG
This 67-nucleotide transfer RNA is filed under the name Parochlus steinenii. RNAcentral's name for it is "tRNA-Asp". It matches the Rfam family "tRNA". From Rfam's summary of the family: Transfer RNA (tRNA) molecules are approximately 80 nucleotides in length. Their secondary structure includes four short double-helical elements and three loops (D, anti-codon, and T loops). Lineage: Eukaryota; Metazoa; Arthropoda; Insecta; Diptera; Chironomidae. The record is from RNAcentral.